AUUGAACGCUGGCGGCAGGCCUAACACAUGCAAGUCGAACGGCAGCACAGAAGAGCUUGCUCUUUGGGUGGCGAGUGGCGGACGGGUGAGUAAUGUCUGGGUAACUGCCCGAUGGAGGGGGAUAACUACUGGAAACGGUAGCUAAUACCGCAUAACGUCGCAAGACCAAAGUGGGGGACCUUCGGGCCUCACACCAUCGGAUGUGCCCAGAUGGGAUUAGCUAGUAGGUGGGGUAAUGGCUCACCUAGGCGACGAUCCCUAGCUGGUCUGAGAGGAUGACCAGCCACACUGGAACUGAGACACGGUCCAGACUCCUACGGGAGGCAGCAGUGGGGAAUAUUGCACAAUGGGCGCAAGCCUAAUGCAGCCAUGCCGCGUGUAUGAAGAAGGCCUUCGGGUUGUAAAGUACUUUCAGCGGGGAGGAAGGCGGUGAAGUUAAUAACUUCACCGAUUGACGUUACCCGCAGAAGAAGCACCGGCUAACUCCGUGCCAGCCGCCGCGGUAA
Molecule: ribosomal RNA, 506 nt
Filed under: uncultured bacterium
Lineage: Bacteria
Description: partial 16S ribosomal RNA
Rfam family: Bacterial small subunit ribosomal RNA
Source: RNAcentral